CAAUAGCGUAUAUUAAAGUUGUUGCGGUUAAAAAGCUCGUAGUUGGAUUUCUGUUGAGAACGUCCGGUCCGCACUAUGUGCGUGUAUCUGGUUCGGUCUUGGCAUCCUCUUGAGGAACGUAUCUGCGCUUGAUUGCGUGGAGCGGUAUUCAAGACUUUUACUUUGAGGAAAUUAGAGUGUUCACGGCAGGCAAGCGCCUUGAAUACGUUAGCAUGGAAUAAUAAUAUAGGAUCUUGGUUCUAUUUUGUUGGUUUCUAGGGCUAAGGUAAUGAUUAAUAGGGAUAAUUGGGGGCAUUUGUAUUAACGCGUCAGAGGUGGAAUUCUUUGAUUGCGUUACGACAAACUACUGCGAAAGCAUUUGCCAAGGAUGUUUUCAUUGA
Molecule: ribosomal RNA, 380 nt
Filed under: uncultured eukaryote
Lineage: Eukaryota
Description: partial 18S ribosomal RNA
Rfam family: Eukaryotic small subunit ribosomal RNA
Source: RNAcentral